Molecule: unclassified non-coding RNA, 110 nt
Organism: Otolemur garnettii (small-eared galago)
Lineage: Eukaryota; Metazoa; Chordata; Mammalia; Primates; Galagidae
Rfam family: Y RNA
About the family: Y RNAs are components of the Ro ribonucleoprotein particle (Ro RNP), in association with Ro60 and La proteins. The Y RNAs and Ro60 and La proteins are well conserved, but the function of the Ro RNP is not known. In humans the RNA component can be one of four small RNAs -- hY1, hY3, hY4 and hY5.
Source: Ensembl
GGAUGGCCCAAAGGUAGUGAGUUAUCACAAUUGAUUGUUCACAGUUAUAGACUGAAUUCCCUGUUUGACUCUUUUGCUACCCUCUCACUACUGCACUUGACCAGUUUUAA